CCUUAGGGUUCCACAGAAGCAACAGGGGUUGUUGGAAGUCUCCAUCUCUCGUGCGCUGGUUCCACCAGGCCAGCCCAGCCCCACGGCAGGCAACCAAGUUCAGAGGAGGAACGAAGAUUCCACGACCACGUCAGGGCGGUGGCAGCCAGGACAUGUGCCAGGGAGAGGAAAUGGGCCUGAAGAAUGAGACUGGGGUAAACGGCAGGGCUCCGUGAGGCAUGAAGCUGGCUCUGAAAGGAAGACCAAGGCCUAAGAGGAUAAGAAAAGGCCACCGCCGGGGACCUUGUGAGCUGGGCCCGUUUCCCGGGCUCUGGGUGAAGCUGGGGCAGAUCAGCCCGUUGCUGGCGGCUCUAAUGGGAAGAGUUUGCUUGGAUGGAGCUGGAAGCAACCUCCCCAUCAGGUCCCGGUUCUGCCCUCUGCAAACGCCAGACUAAUGGAGGAGGAUUCAUGGUUCUUUGUCCACAUCGGCAAGGACACUCCUGGCGGGGACAAGUACAUAAGCAAAGGCACAGAGGCUGGAGGCACAGGGCAUGUUCACAGAAGUGCCCGCUCAAGUGCCCACGUGGACAGAUAAGCAGAAGUUGAAGGAAUGAAUGAAUAUACAAAUAAGAGGAACAGAUCCAGCGCCCAGUGGCAGAUCUGUCUGGAGGGGCAGGGAGCCCGAAGGCUUCAGGAACACAGCAGCAGUCCAUGCUGAGCGGGUUCCAGGAGGCCGACAUCCACGGGACGGCGGAGCAGAGGGGAAGUCUCUAGAUUGCCCGUGUGAAGGAGGAUGUGCGCCAUGGAGAAUGACAGCUUACAGCUAACCUCCCGCAGUGAGAAGUUGGGCACAGAGCCCAUGGAAUUCCCCCCGCCCAGCAGUCAAGGCUCAAGAGGGGUGGGCGCAGGCCGGGACCCCUCAGCUGAUGUCCAGACCCCACACAUCAGUAGAGUGCCCGAGCAAAGUCACAGCCAGGGCCGCCCCCGACUCUCCUGAGCCCUCUCUCCUCCUCUGGCCCCUCCAGCCUCCUUCACCUGCUGCGGGGCUGCUGAAAGGCAAAAGCCCUCCCGUUUGUUUUACUUCUUGAAGCUGAGUGCCCUCCAGGGGCAGAGAUGUGUCCCUCUGAUCCCCCAGCCAUUAGCACAGCACCUGGUGCGUGGUAAUAGCUUAAUCAAUGCUUGUCGACUCUAGCUCUCACUCCCUCCCGACUCUCUGAGCCCUCAGUGAGCUCUGCCUGCCUGCUCUCUGCUGUCCCUCUGGUUCCCAAGAUGUUGGCCUCUCCCAGCCCACUCACCCGCUACCCCACCCUGACCCCCACUGACGUCCCUAAGAGCAGAUAGGGAUGUGCAUGCCGAGUGCCUUCAGGCUCCGUGAAUCUCAGCCAAGACACUCUGGCAUGUGAAGUCCUCAGGCCAGCCUCCAGGGCGUCCCCUCUGAGGCCUCAAGGGCCAGACCAGACACGGGGUCUGUUCAGGGUAAUUGACCUCAGGGGCUCCAAGCUGAGAACCCCAGGGACAGUGUCCAGGCACUCGAUGGGACCCGCUGUAGACUAUGGACAGAGCUCAAGGGCCUGGGAUUUCCACAACGAUGAUCUUCAUUCUCUCUCUCCCCUCCCCCCAAGUCCGAUCAGCCACCAAGACUUGCCAGGUCCACCUCCUAAAUGUCAGCCCAUCCACUCCCCUUGCCCCCUCCCUGCCCCCAACCUACUCUCCACACUUCCGCCAGAGUCAGCUUCCUAAGGUCCCAAACAGCCUAGGUCCUGCCCCUCCCUGGAGCCGGCCCCUCUGGAGUCAAGGUUAGGCUUACAAGACCCUCCACGUUCUGGCCCCAGCUUAACCACCCCUGCCACCCAGUCGCAUCUCUUGCUACCUCUGACCUCACACUCUACACCUUUCUGCUUUGCACAUGCUGUUCCUUCUACCCGGCACUCCUCUCCUAGAAAACAUCUACCAGUUUUAAAGGCUUCAUUCAAUUUUCACCUCCUCCAGGAAGCUCUGUCUGAGCCUCUGCUACUUAAGAGUCAGACUCUCCCCCCUUUCUGUUCCCAGGCUCCUGGACUACCUUCCGUGAG
Equus caballus (horse) is the source of this 2051-nucleotide long non-coding RNA. NCBI's taxonomy places the organism in Eukaryota, Metazoa, Chordata, Mammalia, Perissodactyla, Equidae. The record is from Ensembl.